This 244-nucleotide unclassified non-coding RNA is filed under the name uncultured fungus. RNAcentral describes it as "sequence contains ITS2". Lineage: Eukaryota; Fungi. The record is from RNAcentral.
AACGCACAUUGCGCCCGCCGGCAUUCCGGCGGGCAUGCCUGUCCGAGCGUCAUUUCAACCCUCAGGCACCGCCUGGUGUUGGGCCGCCACCGCCCGGUGGGCCCCGAAACUCAGCGGCGAGCGUCCACUGGACCCGAGCGUAGUAGCACAUCUCGCUUAGGGAGCCAGGGGCGGCCUCUGCCGUAAAACCCCCAUAUUUUACAAGGUUGACCUCGGAUCAGGUAGGAAUACCCGCUGAACUUAA